Lotus japonicus is the source of this 1494-nucleotide long non-coding RNA. RefSeq lists it as uncharacterized. NCBI's taxonomy places the organism in Eukaryota, Viridiplantae, Streptophyta, Magnoliopsida, Fabales, Fabaceae. The record is from RefSeq and is a predicted model, not a curated record. The transcript is spliced from 2 exons.
UCAAGCCUUUCGGGUCAAGCUUUUUCAAGCUUUCUAUUAGAAGUGUGCAGGGGCGGACCCACGUGUAAGUCAGGGGUUCAGAUGAACCCCCUGAAAAAACAAAAAAUUAUACUUACCCCCUUGCAUUGUUAUUUUUUUGAACCCCUGAAAAUUUCAAUUUGCACCCAGACCCCCAUUUUCUCCUCUCUCUCUCACACACUCACAGUCAGACUCACCCUCCAGGAACGCUCACCACACCCUCACCCUCUCACUCUCACUAGGUCUGGCCAUCAUCAAGAUUGAAGCACACACGCACGACACGACGCACCGCCACCGGCCAUCACCACGCAACGCCACUACCGUCCACCAAUCCAGCCGCCCCUCUGCAGCUCUAACCCUAGGUAUGGCUGAUUUGAGAUUUCCCUAUAUUGAUUUCGUUUCUCUUCUCCUUUCUCAAGCUUGAUUUUCCCAAGCAACCAUGAAUACGAUUGAUUGAUAAUUUAAUUUUUGGGUAAGGUAAGGUGUCUAUUGAUUGAUUGGGAGAAAACUCUUAGAUUGGGGAAAAACUCAAACCAGAGUUGUGGAUUUAGCCCAAUUGUGAGAUUGGAUGAAUUUUGCUGCUCUAUGUAUGAUUGGAUGGCCAAUCCAAGAUGGAGUAGUUUUGCUCGGUCUUCCCUUUUUAUAUGCUCCUAGCACACACAUCACCACGACGACACUGAUUUACGCACAUUGUUUAGGUUCUAUUUUCGGACUCAUAUUUAUCCUAAGAUUAGGAAGUAGGUCUAUCCAUCCAAACCAUCCGAGGCCCGAUCUGGAACCACACUAUCUGAGCCUUUUCUAUGUUCUUGGGUCGUCGGUUCGGCCUUCAUGUCAACUUUUAGAAAAAACAGUUUCAUAUGGCUUCAGACAAUUGGGCUCAGAUGGGAAAAGAAACACACGUCGAAACUGGCCUAACCGAAACACUGCUUUAUAAAAACAAAAGUUCAAAAAUGCGACCCAACACUCAGCCCAUUAUGAGUGUCUAAAAUCAAGUGGAAAAAACCCGAGUCAUUUCAAGGCUUCAUGCCUUGUUGCGCCGCACAUACCACCACACAGACAACACAACUUCUCUCACUUCAUUCCUUGUUGCCAAACCCUAGCCGCCACCACCAGAACUUCUCUUUUCCCCUUCAUGCCUUCCCCUCCACCACCAGUUCUGCUUUCAGCGGAAAAUAAACUCUAGUUAACACUGAAACUCUUUUAAUACCAUCUUAUGCUGGUAGAAUUUUUUUUUGAAAUAAGGUGGAAGAAAAUACGUUGUACGUAGCUGUAGCUCUUAAAAUCGUUGCAUAUGAAAAACAAUUUCUUUAAGCACAUUUGUCUCAUUAAUUUAAAUUAUCACUUGGAAUAAAGCAAGCUAGGCUUUGAUCGAUGGAGCCAGUCCAUAGUCCAUUAUAAUUAUCGUGGAGUUAGCUGAAUUCCCAGUAUUGCAUCACAUAUUGUACUAUUUUAUUACAAAGAAAUUACAUUCCUUUU